UCAAAGUUGCUUGAUACUAAUUUCCAAAUUGAGAAGAUUGGCACUGGUCAAUCAGUUGUAGUAACCUGCUACUGUCCUGCUAAAUACACUGGCUCACUGAUAAUGGCUGUCUUUGAUAAGAUAGAGAUGCUGCAAAAGAGAGGAUUGAAGAAAUUUAUAUUAGGCAACAGUACAGUGUGGGAUGCUCAAGUAGUGACUGACUUACUGGUAGAAAUUAAUGAUUUGAAAACUGCUCUAAAAGACAGAGAUGAAGCAAUUAUGUCUACUGAAAUAGAGUUAGCAACACUCAAAGAAAAA
Amphimedon queenslandica is the source of this 297-nucleotide long non-coding RNA. RefSeq lists it as uncharacterized. The record is from RefSeq and is a predicted model, not a curated record. The transcript has 3 exons. Lineage: Eukaryota; Metazoa; Porifera; Demospongiae; Haplosclerida; Niphatidae.